GAAGGUGUGCUGUGAGGCAUGCUGGAGGUAUCAGAAGUGCGAAUGCUGACAUAAGUAACGAUAAAGCGGGUGAAAAGCCCGCUCGCCGGAAGACCAAGGGUUCCUGUCCAACGUUAAUCGGGGCAGGGUGAGUCGACCCCUAAGGCGAGGCCGAAAGGCGUAGUCGAUGGGAAACAGGUUAAUAUUCCUGUACUUGGUGUUACUGCGAAGGGGGGACGGAGAAGGCUAUGUUGGCCGGGCGACGGUUGUCCCGGUUUAAGCGUGUAGGCUGGUUUUCCAGGCAAAUCCGGAAAAUCAAGGCUGAGGCGUGAUGACGAGGCACUACGGUGCUGAAGCAACAAAUGCCCUGCUUCCAGGAAAAGCCUCUAAGCAUCAGGUAACAUCAAAUCGUACCCCAAACCGACACAGGUGGUCAGGUAGAGAAUACCAAGGCGCUUGAGAGAACUCGGGUGAAGGAACUAGGCAAAAUGGUGCCGUAACUUCGGGAGAAGGCACGCUGAUAUGUAGGUGAAGUCCCUCGCGGAUGGAGCUGAAAUCAGUCGAAGAUACCAGCUGGCUGCAACUGUUUAUUAAAAACACAGCACUGUGCAAACACGAAAGUGGACGUAUACGGUGUGACGCCUGCCCGGUGCCGGAAGGUUAAUUGAUGGGGUUAGCGCAAGCGAAGCUCUUGAUCGAAGCCCCGGUAAACGGCGGCCGUAACUAUAACGGUCCUAAGGUAGCGAAAUUCCUUGUCGGGUAAGUUCCGACCUGCACGAAUGGCGUAAUGAUGGCCAGGCUGUCUCCACCCGAGACUCAGUGAAAUUGAACUCGCUGUGAAGAUGCAGUGUACCCGCGGCAAGACGGAAAGACCCCGUGAACCUUUACUAUAGCUUGACACUGAACAUUGAGCCUUGAUGUGUAGGAUAGGUGGGAGGCUUUGAAGUGUGGACGCCAGUCUGCAUGGAGCCGACCUUGAAAUACCACCCUUUAAUGUUUGAUGUUCUAACGUUGACCCGUAAUCCGGGUUGCGGACAGUGUCUGGUGGGUAGUUUGACUGGGGCGGUCUCCUCCUAAAGAGUAACGGAGGAGCACGAAGGUUGGCUAAUCCUGGUCGGACAUCAGGAGGUUAGUGCAAUGGCAUAAGCCAGCUUGACUGCGAGCGUGACGGCGCGAGCAGGUGCGAAAGCAGGUCAUAGUGAUCCGGUGGUUCUGAAUGGAAGGGCCAUCGCUCAACGGAUAAAAGGUACUCCGGGGAUAACAGGCUGAUACCGCCCAAGAGUUCAUAUCGACGGCGGUGUUUGGCACCUCGAUGUCGGCUCAUCACAUCCUGGGGCUGAAGUAGGUCCCAAGGGUAUGGCUGUUCGCCAUUUAAAGUGGUACGCGAGCUGGGUUUAGAACGUCGUGAGACAGUUCGGUCCCUAUCUGCCGUGGGCGCUGGAGAACUGAGGGGGGCUGCUCCUAGUACGAGAGGACCGGAGUGGACGCAUCACUGGUGUUCGGGUUGUCAUGCCAAUGGCACUGCCCGGUAGCUAAAUGCGGAAGAGAUAAGUGCUGAAAGCAUCUAAGCACGAAACUUGCCCCGAGAUGAGUUCUCCCUGACUCCUUGAGAGUCCUGAAGGAACGUUGAAGACGACGACGUUGAUAGGCCGGGUGUGUAAGCGCAGCGAUGCGUUGAGCUAACCGGUACUAAUGAACCGUGAGGCUUAACCUU
RNAcentral lists this ribosomal RNA (1693 nucleotides) under Escherichia coli. RNAcentral's name for it is "partial 23S ribosomal RNA". It matches the Rfam family "Bacterial large subunit ribosomal RNA", at positions 1252 to 2925 of the family's 2925-position model. The record is from RNAcentral. Lineage: Bacteria; Pseudomonadati; Pseudomonadota; Gammaproteobacteria; Enterobacterales; Enterobacteriaceae.